RNAcentral lists this ribosomal RNA (301 nucleotides) under uncultured bacterium. RNAcentral describes it as "partial 16S ribosomal RNA". It matches the Rfam family "Bacterial small subunit ribosomal RNA", at positions 509 to 807 of the family's 1533-position model. The record is from RNAcentral.
CAGCCGCCGCGGGAAAACGGAGGGGGCUAGCGUUGUUCGGAAUUACUGGGCGUAAAGCGCACGUAGGCGGCUUGGUAAGUUAGAGGUGAAAGCCUGGAGCUCAACUCCAGAAUUGCCUUUAAGACUGCCGAGCUAGCAGGUGAGAGAGGUAAGUGGAAUUCCGAGUGUAGAGGUGAAAUUCGUAGAUAUUCGGAAGAACACCAGUGGCGAAGGCGGCUUACUGGCUCAUACUGGACGCUGAGGUGCGAAAGCGUGGGGAGCAAACAGGAUUAGAGACCCCCGUAGUCCCUGUCUCUUAUAC